RNAcentral lists this ribosomal RNA (524 nucleotides) under Oxypolellinae sp. TCH-2017. Its description in RNAcentral is "partial 16S ribosomal RNA". It matches the Rfam family "Bacterial large subunit ribosomal RNA", at positions 1835 to 2623 of the family's 2925-position model. Lineage: Eukaryota; Metazoa; Nemertea; Pilidiophora; Heteronemertea; Valenciniidae. The record is from RNAcentral.
UAUUUCUUGAUGGUAAGUAAUUUCUGCCCGGUGAGAUAUUUAACGGCCGCGGUACCCUGACCGUGCAAAGGUAGCAUAAUCACUUGCCUUUUAAUUGAGGGCUGGUAUGAAUGGAAAAACAAGUGUGUGACUGUCUCCUCGUCUAAAGUUGGAAUUUCUUGUUCGUGUGAAGAAACCCGGUGGUCGCAGAGGGACAAGAAGACCCUGUCGAGCUUUACUAGCUUACCUUCUUGCUUUGGUUAUUUAUAAAGAGGGCUGGUCUUUGGCUAGUUUGGUUGGGGCAACCAGAAAAGAGAAAAUCUUUUCUUUAUAACAAAAUGGCCGCAUUGAAAGUUGAUCCAGUUUAAUUAUGGAAGAAACAAGUUACCGCAGGGAUAACAGCGUUAUUCUCUUGAAGAGCUCUAAUCGAAAAGAGAGUUUGCGACCUCGAUGUUGACUUAUUAUCUCCUGCUGGGUGCAGUAGCUUAGAGGGUUGGUCUGUUCGACCAUUAAAAUAAUACGUGAGUUGAGUUCAGAUCGGCGUG